RNAcentral lists this ribosomal RNA (535 nucleotides) under uncultured archaeon. Its description in RNAcentral is "bacterial SSU rRNA". It matches the Rfam family "Archaeal small subunit ribosomal RNA", at positions 343 to 879 of the family's 1478-position model. The record is from RNAcentral.
UUUAAGUUUCAUUCUUGCGAUCGUACUCCCGAGGCGGCAAGUGUAACGAUUUCCUUGUGGCUGUAGAAAUGCCUAUGAAGCAUUGAAUACCUAGGGCGGGGCAAUAACGGUGCCAACCACCGCGGUAACACCGGCGGUUCGAUUGGUAACCUUUAUUAUUGGGUCUAAAGGGUCUGUAUCCGGCAGGAUAAUUCUUUUGGGAAAUCCACCUGCUCAACAGUUGGGCUUUCACAACAUACUGAUUCGGCUCGAGACCGGGAGAGGUGAUAGGUACUUCAGGGGUAGGGGUGAAAUCUUGUAAUCCUUGAAGGACCACCAGUGGAGAAGGCUUCUCACCAAAACAGAUCUGACGGCAAGGGACGAAAGCUAGGGGCACGAAACGUAUUAUAUACCCGGGUAGUCAUAGCCGAAAACGAUACUCGCCAGGUGUCAGCCACGGUGCAACCGUGGUUGGUGCCGUACGGAAGACGUGAAUCGAGACACCUGGGAAGUACUGCCGCUAGGCUGAAACUUAAAGGAAUUGGCGGGGGAGCAC